Molecule: long non-coding RNA, 371 nt
Organism: Scylla paramamosain (green mud crab)
Lineage: Eukaryota; Metazoa; Arthropoda; Malacostraca; Decapoda; Portunidae
Exons: 4
Source: RefSeq, a predicted model, not a curated record
CAGGUGAAGGAGAAGAAGGGAGCACGGGGCCUGCAGGAUGCCUCCCGCUCAGUGACGCCGCCGCCAACAUGCUGCCACGUGUGGUGUAUCGAGUGACGCGCUCCUGUUCAAGUUACCUGUUAGCAUGAUAACUGCACCUGCUACCUGGUGCAUUAUAUCAGCUGAUUGGAUUCUCUUCACUCAACUUGACACGAGCUGAAACCUCUUCCCUCUUCAUUGUACGUGAUUAUUGUCUCUCAGUUGGGAGGCCCGGGAGGGGGAGGAGGAGGAGGACCACCGCGUCACGUGUUUGUGGAAUGAGGGACGCGGCGCUGGUGGUCCCUUGAGGCAGGAGGACCACAGCUCACACCGAACACAAGCCGGCCCUGGAA